CAUUGUUCAAUGCCAUGGUAAGUUUCCUAGACAGAACUACGUUAAGUGUUUUUUAAUCCUAACUACUCUCCAGAUUUAGUGGCUGCAUUUGCAAUGAAACACAAGGUAUUUUCUGUGAUAUUCCCUUUCUCGCUUGGCAUAUGCCAACGAGUUCAUUGUUUUUUUUUCUGGAAUGGAUAUGUACAUGAGUUAUGCACAAGCAUCCAUUUGAAUUGUUUGUUAAGAUUAUUCCAACAAAGAUUCUUUAGUUGCAGGAUAAGGAUUAUGAAUACAUUUCCUUCAGUUUUCAUCCUCGUGGCUUAGGUAAUUAAAUACUGCUUAUAAUUCUUAGAACCUUCCUUAAUACAUAAUCAGAAUUCAGAUCAUCCUCCUCCAUUAUGGGUAAACUGGGAUCUGCCCACCCAUCUUAGAACUCUGGAAAUGAUACUGGUUUAUUUUUACAGAGUCAUGCUUGCUAUAUAUGAUAAUUGAAACUUAGGUAUGCUGUUUAUUCCCCACUCUCUGCUGAGGCAAUGACGCUCACAUUAGUGGCCUGAUAAUGUGUUUACCAAUUUUAAUUGUGGUGUUCUAUGUAGCCAUGACAUCUAGGUAUCCAUAUAUUUUACUUCAGUUUCGAGUUCGCUAUUGAAAGUUAUUUUGAAAUUUCAGUUCCAGGAGGUGUUGCAUCAUGAAUUAUAAUUAUAUGUGUCGUAAUGAGAAGUUAAUUGUUAUUGGUUAUCCGUGCCAAUUGGGCCACAGAUGAACAUGAAACUAAGAUUUGCAUUAUACUCAGUUUAUUAGCAACAACGCAUUUCUCUGUCAUCUUGGUUCCACUAAGAUGUAUUUAACUGUAUGAGUGGCGCAAUGCUAAUUUUUAGGUGUUUGGAUGAUGGUGGUAACAUAUUUUGUUUAUUGCAGGGUGCUUUAGAUUUUUGGAAUUCCGAUAUGCUGAAAUAAACAUGAUAUUUCUUUUUUGAGAAGAUAAUAUGUACAAUAUUUCGACGAGGCCCAUUAACCCAAGUGCUUGCUUAUUUGCUGCCCAUCUACACCAUGGAUGCAUAUAAGAGUAAUUGUGACGGUUUAGUGAAAUACAAUCCGUGGAUGAGACUCCUACAACCUGAAUAAAGGUAUUUUGGAUAAUUGUUUCGACCUCUACAAGUAUGUACUAUGUUCCUCACAUGGUAUAACUAUGAAGAAGUGCUUGAUGAAUCUGUACAUGACGGCACAUACGGGCUGCUUCCAGGUGGUCAUCACUGAUAACCAAUAUCGCAUUGGUGCUUUGGUUCGGAUUAGGAGUCUUCAUGAUGUUCUGCCAUUGUUUGCCUAGAUAGUUGGUGUGCCAUGAAAGUAGGCCUAUUUUAUUUUUUCCCGCUAUUGUCUUCUAACUGACAGAUAUGUUACGUUGGUAGACGAUACAUCCAAGGUAUGUUUCCUAAAUGAAGUCAAAAUUUGAAUUUAUCUCCUGAUCUUGAGAUAUGAAGCAAUUAUUUGUGUCAGGAAAAGAGAGGGUCUAAUUCAACUGUGAUGACUUUUGCAAUUUGAACAGUGUAUUACUAUUUCUCAUUGUAAGCCGAAUUAGUUUAUUACUA
This is a long non-coding RNA of Lolium rigidum, 1568 nucleotides long. RefSeq lists it as uncharacterized. The transcript has 2 exons. Lineage: Eukaryota; Viridiplantae; Streptophyta; Magnoliopsida; Poales; Poaceae. The record is from RefSeq and is a predicted model, not a curated record.